UACGAAGGUUGCAAGCGUUACUCGGAAUUACUAGGCGUAAAGGGCAGGUAGGUGGUUUGGUAAGUCUAUUGUGAAAGCUCCCGGCUCAACUGGGAGAGGCCAAUGGAUACUGCCAAGCUUGAGUAUAGGAGAGGUUACUGGAAUUCCCGGUGUAGCGGUGAAAUGCGCAGAUAUCGGGAGGAACACCAAUGGCGAAAGCAGGUAACUGGGCUAUUACUGACACUCAACUGCGAAAGCUAGGGGAGCAAACAGG
RNAcentral lists this ribosomal RNA (253 nucleotides) under uncultured bacterium. RNAcentral describes it as "partial 16S ribosomal RNA". It matches the Rfam family "Bacterial small subunit ribosomal RNA", at positions 524 to 776 of the family's 1533-position model. The record is from RNAcentral.